CAGUUAAUUCUCAGCACAUAGAGACUCUUUCACCUAGAUAUCAAACUAUAGAGACUGUGUCUGUUCCCCGAACUAGAAAAUACAAAAAAAUGUCCAUACCAAUUUAAGCGUAACAAUUUAAUUGAGGUUCAACAAAUAAAAAACAGAUGCAAUACAGAUAAACAAAUGAUAAAGCUUGCCUUAUUGAAUAUCAGUUCCCUUUCUAUGAAAGCAUUUUUCCAAAAGGUAAAGAGGGAGAUGUUGCUUCAAUUUAUAACAAUGUUUUCAGUAUUUCUCAGAGGGCAGGCUUCAAGUAGAACUCAUUUGAAGUAAUGGUGCUUCAUAUAACAUUAUCCAGAGAAACAAAUGUUAAUGAUAAAUCCCCUGUGAUGUUUGUACUGGCUACUGUAUACAGGCCACCAGAGCACCAUAAAGUCUUUAUUAAAGAGUUUGCUGAUUUUACAUCUGAGUUAGUGCUGGCUGCAGAUAAAGUUUUAAUUGUUGGUGAUUUUUAAUAUCCAUGUUGAUAAUGAAAAAGAUGCAUUGGGAUCAGCAUUUAUAGACAUUCUGAACUCUAUUGGGGUUAGACAACACAUCUCAGGACCUACUCAUUGUUGAAAUCAUACUCUAGAUUUAAUACUGUCACAUGGAAUUGAUGUUGAUGGUGUUGAAAUUACGCAGUCAAGCGAUGAUAUCUCAGAUCAUUUAGUUUUGUGCACACUUCACAUAGCAUUUUAAAUACAGUUGCUCCUUUAUGCUUAAGGAAGGUUAAGGAAAACAGUCUGACACCGUGGUAUAAUGAGCACACUCGCACCCUAAAGAGAGCAGCCCGGAAAAUGGAGCGCAGCUGGAGGAAAACAAAACUAGAGGUCACCAUAGCCACCAGAUCCAGUCUGUAUCCAGAUCAGAUGGUCACUGCAGUCACCCGGAUCCAGUGCGUAUCCAGCCCAGAUGGUGGAUCAGCACCUAGAAAGGACCUCUACAGUCCUGAAAGACAGCAGAGACCAGGACUAGAGCCCCAGAGACAGAUCCCCUGUAAAGACCUUGUCUCAGAUGAUCACCGGGACAAGACCACAGGAAACAGAUGAUUCUUCUGUACAAUCUGACUUUGCUGCAGCCUGGAAUUGAACUGACUUGAUUGCAAAUUAUUGCACAGAUACUAUUUAAACUGAACUGAGCUGCAUGAUGACAUCACUGAAUUCAAUGAUGAACUGCCUUUAACUGUCAUUUUGCAUUAUUGACACACUGUUUUCUUAAUUAAUGUUGUUCAGUUGCUUUGACGCAAUCUUUUUAGUUUAAAGCGCUAUAUAAAUAAAGAUAACUUGACUUGACUUGACUAAAAUAUUUUACUGCUAUUUAGGAGAACUCUUAGUGGCAAGAUAAAAUGUUUUGUGACUACAGGCCCUGAUGUACAAGGAGAAAAUAAAAGGACAAAACUUACACGUUUUGUCCAUCAAGAUAAUCUUCACAAAAUAAUAUAACUUUAAUGAAUUUUGAAGCCUAAAUAAAAGCGUCAAAACUUAAAAGAUAAACAUAGGCUAUAAACGAACUUCGGCGUCACCACCACCACGCUUCCCACAACUUUAUCAAAAUUAUUUUUAAUGUGUUCAGUGAAAAGGAUUUACUCUGUAUAUGAAUUUUAAUCCAUGCUACAUGAACCUUUUUUAUAUAAACUGGAAUAAAAAAAAACUACAAAACUAGAGCCAAACUAACACUAAAAUGAGACAUUAAUUAUAAAUAGGCUAGUAAAGUGAAUAAAUGAAAAUCAUAACUAAAGGACAUAUGAAAGCACCUAUUUCUGUACAUUUCGAAAUAAGGUGCAUUAAAAGUCAAUAAAUCCUUGAUAAAUAUGAAUAUUUUAAUUAAAAACGUGUCUUCACAUACUAUUCAAUAAAAUUCUAGUGCAUUUAAUCUAUUAAAUAACAGCAGAGUGAGCGAGUUUCUGGAUAUGGAAAGAUUAAAGAUUUUAGGGAAUAAAGUACCACAUUUCAGCUUUGUUAGUGUGGGUACACAAAAUGCUAUUUUAUCCUUGCUUCUAGGAAAUCCUCAUAUGUGGUAAAUGUGGUGGGUACAUGGAAUAAUCGUAAUAUGAGUUUACCUUACGAACCCAGAGCCUCCACAUCAGUAGGACAGUGAUAAAAUGAGCAUCUUCCAUCUGAAGACUUGUGUUGCAUUUCGGGGCAUAACAAAAAAAAAAAAAAUAUAUAUAUAUAUAUAUAAAAUGCUGGAAACGAAUUGGUUAUUCUACAAUUAAUUGUAUUACAAAUUAUACUACGACUAGAAAAUACUGUAAAUAGAUCAACUGUUCAGGCGUGAUGAAGUUUAAUUUCUCCGACAGCGCCUGUAGUCCCAUUUAGCAACUUGUUAGCAACCGUAAUUUUUAAGAAACGUAACAGUUUCAAUAAAAUCAUGAGUGGGGUGUAUAAAACGUGAAAGUAUUUGAGCCUGUGUGAACCACGGACCUUAUUUUAGGGAUUUAACCAAAAUCCCAUUCAAAAAAACCCAUUGACUCUGGGACGAUGGAACCAGAAAUGCUAAAAUGCUAACUCGCUUCCGGGGUUUUGCCUACAAAUUGACAUCAUAGUUCCACCCAUAGACAUAUAAAUACUUAUGUCUAUUAGACUGCACAUCUACUACGCUGUAAUUAAUACGGGCAGUGGCUGGAAAUUGCGACCUCUUCUUCUUCUUCUGAUUCAUGGCAGAUGACUAUUUUGUAGUAUACCACCACCAACUGUACAGGAGUGUGUAAUACCAUGAACAUCAUAGAGUCUGGGCUUCUAUUACUUAAAAAAAGGGGGGGGGGCUUAUACUCUUUUCAUUAAACCAGUAUUAUUAAGAUAACUAAAUAAAGCUUUAAGUCUCUCCCUUGUCAUGCCCUUUUCUUCCAGAAUUUCAUGAAUAGAGUUCUCCCCUUCCAUUUCCUGCCAGAUUAUUCUAUUAUCAUUAUACUUCUCACAAGUAAAAAGUACAUGUUUAACAUCUUCUCUGUCUUGGCACAUUAUGCAUAAACCAUUACCCUUUCCUACUAUAUGUAAAGUGGAGUUUAGUCCUGUAUGUCCUAGUCUAAGUCUGGUAUAGACCAUUUCUUCCCUUCUGUUUAGACUCCGUGAAGUAACCCUUUUCCCUGUCACCUUCUUCUGAUAUUUAUGGUAGUGUCUUGCAUUAAAUUCUGCCUCCCAUUCCCUUUGCCAUUUUUGUACAAUUACUGAUUUGAUUAUGGAUUUGGCUUCACCCUUACCCAUUGGAAC
This is a long non-coding RNA of Cyprinus carpio carpio, 3227 nucleotides long. Lineage: Eukaryota; Metazoa; Chordata; Actinopteri; Cypriniformes; Cyprinidae. The record is from Ensembl.